GAUGAACGCUGGCGGCGUGCCUAAUACAUGCAAGUCGAGCGAACAGACGAGGAGCUUGCUCCUCUGACGUUAGCGGCGGACGGGUGAGUAACACGUGGAUAACCUACCUAUAAGACUGGGAUAACUUCGGGAAACCGGUGCUAAUACCGGAUAAUAUCUUGAACCGCAUGGUUCAAUAGUGAAAGACGGUUUUGCUGUCACUUAUAGAUGGAUCCGCGCCGCAUUAGCUAGUUGGUAAGGUAACGGCUUACCAAGGCGACGAUGCGUAGCCGACCUGAGAGGGUGAUCGGCCACACUGGAACUGAGACACGGCCCAGACUCCUACGGGAGGCAGCAGUAGGGAAUCUUCCGCAAUGGGCGAAAGCCUGACGGAGCAACGCCGCGUGAGUGAUGAAGGUCUUCGGAUCGUAAAACUCUGUUAUUAGGGAAGAACAACUGUGUAAGUAACUAUGCACGUCUUGACGGUACCUAAUCAGAAAGCCACGGCUAACUACGUG
Molecule: ribosomal RNA, 497 nt
Filed under: uncultured bacterium
Lineage: Bacteria
Description: partial 16S ribosomal RNA
Rfam family: Bacterial small subunit ribosomal RNA
Source: RNAcentral